This 256-nucleotide long non-coding RNA is filed under the name Homo sapiens (human). RNAcentral describes it as "non-protein coding lnc-KIF3C-2:1". The record is from RNAcentral. Lineage: Eukaryota; Metazoa; Chordata; Mammalia; Primates; Hominidae.
GUAGGGAGGGCAGACCUGGCAGAAGCUGGAGUGCCCUGAGAAUCCUGUGGGGCGGGAAGCUGCUGAGCAGGGCAUGCCAGCUGGACAGGGCAUCCAAAGAGUCUCCAGGCCAUGAACUGGGUGAAGGAGGACCCCGGUCACCCCAGGCCUGGGGUCAGCAAGGCGUAGGAUGUGUGUUCAAGGAUAGCAAAAGAAGAGACUGAUUUUCAUUUGGGAAGGGGAAACAACAAGGUCAAGUUCAGAGAAUGAGCAAUGC